This is a non-coding RNA of Phoenix dactylifera (date palm), 951 nucleotides long. The record is from RefSeq and is a predicted model, not a curated record. Lineage: Eukaryota; Viridiplantae; Streptophyta; Magnoliopsida; Arecales; Arecaceae.
UUUGUGUUUGAGGGGGAGGAGGAAGAGGAAGAGGAAGAGGUGGCUAAGGCAAUCAAAACUCCAACAAUGAAGAAAGGGAGCAUUCCUCAAGAGGACGUGAUAGAGGAAACUACACAAGGCAAAAUGAUAAGUCCAAAGUUUGGUGUUACAAUUGCCAAAAGAAUGGGCAUUAUGCUCGGAAGUGUUGGAGUUCUCCUAGCAAUAUUGAAGAGAAGACUAAUUAUGUAGAGAAUGGACGAGCCAACUCCAGCAGAUAGCAAGUCGACCCAAGAACAGUCUCAAAGAAUAGAUAGAAAGUCAAAGAAUUUAUCGCAUUGGCGAGUUAACCCAUAAAAUACAUGCUCGACUCUAGUCUAAAGAGUGAUGUUGGAAGUAAAUUGAAUCUUCCUAAAAUUUGAUUCACUGGAAAGCACAUAAAGGAAGGAGUCGACCCCUAAUUGGACAUACAAAAAAGACAGAGCUAGAAAAAUCAUCGCUUUGGCUUGUCGACCCAUAGGAAUCAUGAGUUGACUCCAGUCAAACAAGAUUAGACCCUAGAAACAUACAAGUCGACCUCUGAAACACCAUAGUAAAAAAAUAAAAAACAGUAGAACUUAAUCUGUUGAAUAGUCCACCCAAGAAAGCAAUGAGUUGACCCAAGAUAUCUGACGAGUCAACCCCUGAACUGAAAGAGCCGACUCCACAAUGUCUAUAGUAAAAAGACAGAGCGCAACAAAAGCUACAACAACUACGAGAUGACUCCUGAAGAUCACCAGUCGACUUCUAAAAAUCUUAAGUCGACCCUAGGAAAUGGUGAGUCAACCCCUCUGCGUCUGACAAUAGUAAUAUCUAGUUUUUCUAUGAGUCACAAUAGUUGUUUUUCAUUUCACAAUGGCUCUUUACCUGUCUAAUGAUUGGAAGAGUGUUCCAACCAUCUCCAAAAGUAUAAAUGCAUAGGAACAGCAAAGAAAA